RNAcentral lists this ribosomal RNA (1191 nucleotides) under uncultured actinomycete. RNAcentral describes it as "bacterial SSU rRNA". It matches the Rfam family "Bacterial small subunit ribosomal RNA", at positions 66 to 1264 of the family's 1533-position model. The record is from RNAcentral. Lineage: Bacteria; Bacillati; Actinomycetota; Actinomycetes; Actinomycetales.
ACGAUGAACCGGUUUCGGCCGGGGAUUAGUGGCGAACGGGUGAGUAACACGUGGGCAAUCUGCCCUGCACUCUGGGACAAGCCCUGGAAACGGGGUCUAAUACCGGAUAUGACUGCCGACCGCAUGGUCUGGUGGUGGAAAGCUCCGGCGGUGCAGGAUGAGCCCGCGGCCUAUCAGCUUGUUGGUGGGGUGAUGGCCUACCAAGGCGACGACGGGUAGCCGGCCUGAGAGGGCGACCGGCCACACUGGGACUGAGACACGGCCCAGACUCCUACGGGAGGCAGCAGUGGGGAAUAUUGCACAAUGGGCGAAAGCCUGAUGCAGCGACGCCGCGUGAGGGAUGACGGCCUUCGGGUUGUAAACCUCUUUCAGCAGGGAAGAAGCGAAAGUGACGGUACCUGCAGAAGAAGCGCCGGCUAACUACGUGCCAGCAGCCGCGGUAAUACGUAGGGCGCGAGCGUUGUCCGGAAUUAUUGGGCGUAAAGAGCUCGUAGGCGGCUUGUCACGUCGGAUGUGAAAGCCCGGGGCUUAACCCCGGGUCUGCAUUCGAUACGGGCAGGCUAGAGUUCGGUAGGGGAGAUCGGAAUUCCUGGUGUAGCGGUGAAAUGCGCAGAUAUCAGGAGGAACACCGGUGGCGAAGGCGGAUCUCUGGGCCGAUACUGACGCUGAGGAGCGAAAGCGUGGGGAGCGAACAGGAUUAGAUACCCUGGUAGUCCACGCCGUAAACGUUGGGAACUAGGUGUGGGCGACAUUCCACGUUGUCCGUGCCGCAGCUAACGCAUUAAGUUCCCCGCCUGGGGAGUACGGCCGCAAGGCUAAAACUCAAAGGAAUUGACGGGGGCCCGCACAAGCGGCGGAGCAUGUGGCUUAAUUCGACGCAACGCGAAGAACCUUACCAAGGCUUGACAUACACCGGAAACAUCCAGAGAUGGGUGCCCCCUUGUGGUCGGUGUACAGGUGGUGCAUGGCUGUCGUCAGCUCGUGUCGUGAAAUGUUGGGUUAAGUCCCGCAACGAGCGCAACCCUUGUUCUGUGUUGCCAGCAUGCCCUUCGGGGUGAUGGGGACUCACAGGAGACUGCCGGGGUCAACUCGGAGGAAGGUGGGGACGACGUCAAGUCAUCAUGCCCCUUAUGUCUUGGGCUGCACACGUGCUACAAUGGCCGGUACAAUGAGCUGCGAAGCCGUGAGGUG